UCCUUGGAGGACUAGUGGUUAGGCCACGGUGCUCUCACCACCGGGGCCUGGAUUCGAUUCACGGCCAGGGAA
Molecule: transfer RNA, 72 nt
Filed under: Pangasius djambal
Lineage: Eukaryota; Metazoa; Chordata; Actinopteri; Siluriformes; Pangasiidae
Description: tRNA-Glu
Source: RNAcentral